CAAAAAAAAGCGGUGAUUUUUUUCCAGUUUCCCCUUCCCCUUCUCUGCUUAUGUUCUGCUUCAACCAAUACCAUCGUCGCCGCUGCUUCUGCCAUCUCCAUCGCCAUUGCCGCCGCUGCUUCUUCCAUCGCUGAUUCUAAGAUGAAGAAUGUAGUCUCAAGGUUAUUCCAUAUUGAUUCGCCCCCCAUCCACCCACACAACCAGAAGCUUUGUUUUGCUCUAAUUUGAAGAAAUCGUUCAACGAUUCUUCUUAAUUCAAGUUUCCCAUGUAUUUUACUAUGCGCCAAACCUGUUUGAGAGUUGGAAAGGACAGAAGCUUCUUUCAAGAGCUGAAUUUCAUAUCGAUGCCCAUGUGACGAAAUUCCUGCGAUUGCAAAUGCUUCCUGCUUCAUCCGAUAAACCCAAUGCUACCCAAGCCAUGAUAAAACUAACAGAUACGCUAUAUUAUUCGGGUACUCUUGAUGGAAGCAUUGGUUGUAUUGUGUUAGGUUAUGAUACAUAUGACAAUUCAUAAAUCAUGCGGAAAAACCAUUUAGCCAGGAAUACAUAUUAUUUACACAUAA
Long non-coding RNA from Spinacia oleracea (spinach), 563 nucleotides. RefSeq lists it as uncharacterized. The record is from RefSeq and is a predicted model, not a curated record. NCBI's taxonomy places the organism in Eukaryota, Viridiplantae, Streptophyta, Magnoliopsida, Caryophyllales, Amaranthaceae. The transcript is spliced from 2 exons.